This 25-nucleotide transfer RNA is filed under the name Drosophila bifasciata. RNAcentral describes it as "partial tRNA-Gly". Lineage: Eukaryota; Metazoa; Arthropoda; Insecta; Diptera; Drosophilidae. The record is from RNAcentral.
AUCUAUAUAAUAUAAAAGUAUAUUU